CACUGCUCCUGCCUUCUUACAG
Molecule: microRNA, 22 nt
Filed under: Mus musculus (house mouse)
Lineage: Eukaryota; Metazoa; Chordata; Mammalia; Rodentia; Muridae
Description: mmu-miR-7038-3p
Source: miRBase by way of RNAcentral